RNAcentral lists this ribosomal RNA (253 nucleotides) under uncultured bacterium. RNAcentral's name for it is "partial 16S ribosomal RNA". It matches the Rfam family "Bacterial small subunit ribosomal RNA", at positions 524 to 776 of the family's 1533-position model. The record is from RNAcentral.
UACGUAGGGGGCAAGCGUUGUCCGGAAUUAUUGGGCGUAAAGCGCGUGUAGGCGGCUCGGUAAGUCUGCUGUGAAAGUCCAGGGCUCAACCCUGGAAUGCCGGUGGAAACUGUCGAGCUAGAGUCCGGAAGAGGCGAGUGGAAUUCCUGGUGUAGCGGUGAAAUGCGCAGAUAUCAGGAGGAACACCAAUGGCGAAGGCAGCUCGCUGGGACGGUACUGACGCUGAGACGCGAAAGCGUGGGGAGCAAACAGG